ACUCCUACGGGAGGCAGCAGUGAGGAAUAUUGGUCAAUGGAGGCAACUCUGAACCAGCCAUGCCGCGUGCAGGAAGACUGCCCUAUGGGUUGUAAACUGCUUUUAUACAGGAAGAAACAGUCGUACGAGUACGACCUUGACGGUACUGUAGGAAUAAGCACCGGCUAACUCCGUGCCAGCAGCCGCGGUAAUACGGAGGGUGCAAGCGUUAUCCGGAAUCAUUGGGUUUAAAGGGUCCGCAGGCGGUCAAUUAAGUCAGAGGUGAAAUCCCAUAGCUUAACUAUGGAACUGCCUUUGAUACUGGUUGACUUGAGUUAUACGGAAGUAGAUAGAAUAAGUAGUGUAGCGGUGAAAUGCAUAGAUAUUACUUAGAAUACCGAUUGCGAAGGCAGUCUACUACGUGUAUACUGACGCUCAUGGACGAAAGCGUGGGAGCGAACAGGAUUAGAUA
RNAcentral lists this ribosomal RNA (451 nucleotides) under uncultured bacterium. RNAcentral's name for it is "bacterial SSU rRNA". It matches the Rfam family "Bacterial small subunit ribosomal RNA", at positions 335 to 784 of the family's 1533-position model. The record is from RNAcentral.